GACGAACGCUGGCGGCGUGCUUAACACAUGCAAGUCGAACGGUGAAGCGCCUUCCUUUUUGGUGGGUGUGGAUGAGUGGCGAACGGGUGAGUAACACGUGAGUAACCUGCCCCCUUCUUCUGGAUAACCGCAUGAAAGUGUGGCUAAUACGGGAUAUUCUGGGUCUGUCGCAUGAUGGGUCUGGGAAAGAUAUUGUUUCGGUGGGGGAUGGGCUCGCGGCCUAUCAGCUUGUUGGUGGGGUGAUGGCCUACCAAGGCGGUGACGGGUAGCCGGCCUGAGAGGGUGGACGGUCACACUGGGACUGAGAGACGGCCCAGACUCCUACGGGAGGCAGCAGGGGGGAAUAUUGCACAAUGGGCGCAAGGCUGAUGCAGCGACGCCGCGUGAGGGAUGGAGGCCUUCGGGUUGUGAACCUCUUUCGCCAGUGAAGCAGGCCUGCCUCGUUUGUGGGUGGGUUGACGGUAGCUGGAUAAGAAGCGCCGGCUAACUACGUG
This 494-nucleotide ribosomal RNA is filed under the name uncultured bacterium. Its description in RNAcentral is "partial 16S ribosomal RNA". It matches the Rfam family "Bacterial small subunit ribosomal RNA", at positions 28 to 507 of the family's 1533-position model. The record is from RNAcentral.